AAACUGCGAUACGUAGUGUGAAUUGCAGAAUUUUGUGAGUCAUCGAAUCCUUGAACGCACAUGGCGCUCUUGGGCAAUCCCGAGAGCAUUGUUGUUUGAGCAUCUUUUUGAUUAUUCUGUGAUGAGUCUCUCAGUGCUUGUAAAGAGCAGUGGAGUGGCUUUAAAGGAGUUGCAGCAAACAAAUAUAGUGGUGGUGGUGGUGGAAACACAGCCAGCAACAGCGAUCCUCGGUAAAUAUCGCGGUAAUCGCCCAUUGCAGAGCUAUGAAAAACACAAACGCCACGAAACCCAAAAAUAAGAUCUCAAAUCAACAAAGAGUACCCGCUGAACUUAA
This 334-nucleotide unclassified non-coding RNA is filed under the name uncultured Ascomycota. Its description in RNAcentral is "sequence contains ITS1". The stretch from base 1 to 105 matches the Rfam family "5.8S ribosomal RNA", at positions 50 to 154 of the family's 154-position model. The record is from RNAcentral. Lineage: Eukaryota; Fungi; Ascomycota.